This 401-nucleotide ribosomal RNA is filed under the name Mesabolivar cyaneotaeniatus. Its description in RNAcentral is "partial 16S ribosomal RNA". The record is from RNAcentral. Lineage: Eukaryota; Metazoa; Arthropoda; Arachnida; Araneae; Pholcidae.
AACCUGCUCCAUGUAAACUAUAAAUAGCCGCAGAAUUCUGUGCUAAGGUAGCAUAAUCAUUAGCUUUAUAAUUAAAAGAUAGUAUGAAUGGUUAAACGAAAUAGUAACUGUUUCUAUAAAUUAUAAUUAACUUAUACUAAAAGUUAAAAUUCUUUUAAUAAAAGAAAGACGAUAAGACCCUAUAAACUUAAUUCAUUUAGCUGGGGCGGCGAAAAAAAUACCUUAAUAACCACGUACUACAAUCACACAAAUAAAAUUUAGUAAAUAGUUACUUUAGGGAUAACAGCGCUACUUUUUUUAAAAGACCUUAUUUAAAAAAAUCCUACGACCUCGAUGUUGAAUUAUAAUCCUAUAAUAGAGCAGAAACUAUAAAAGGUAGUCUGUUCGACUAUUAAACAUAU